Molecule: ribosomal RNA, 430 nt
Filed under: uncultured bacterium
Lineage: Bacteria
Description: bacterial SSU rRNA
Rfam family: Bacterial small subunit ribosomal RNA
Source: RNAcentral
UCGAGAAUCAUUCGCAAUGGGCGAAAGCCUGACGAUGCGACGCCGUGUGAGCGAUGAAGGCCUUCGGGUCGUAAAGCUCUUUCGCCUGGGAACAAGAAAGGCGGGUAAAUAAUCCGCUGAUUUGAGUGUACCAGGUAAAGAAGCACCGGCUAACUCCGUGCCAGCAGCUGCGGUAAUACGGAGGGUGCAAGCAUUAAUCGGAUUUAUUGGGCGUAAAGGGCGCGUAGGCGGGGAUCAAAGUCAGGUGUGAAAUUUUUGGGCUCAACCCAAAAACAGCACUUGAAACUUGAUUUCUAAGAGGGUAGGCGGAGAAAAUGGAAUUCCACAUGUAGCGGUGAAAUGCGUAGAUAUGUGGAAGAACACCAGUGGCGAAGGCGGUUUUCUAGCUUACACCUGACGCUGAGGCGCGAAAGCAAGGGGAUCAAACAGG